Pocillopora damicornis (cauliflower coral) is the source of this 373-nucleotide long non-coding RNA. NCBI's taxonomy places the organism in Eukaryota, Metazoa, Cnidaria, Anthozoa, Scleractinia, Pocilloporidae. The record is from RefSeq and is a predicted model, not a curated record.
CCUUAAAAAAAUGUCGAGUGACGCCCUAACAACCAAUACCACAAGAGACGCAAUUCUCCCGUUUUAAUUUUAAUACUUCUAACCAGUAUAUCUUUUUUGCUUUUACUAGCGGACCUGAUAGAGCGGUCAAGAGUAGUGCGAACACUAUGUGUCGUCAGGUGACUGCGUCUGCUGUCACUGAUAUUGGACUGGGAACUGCUUGGUACAUCGCGCAUGGAAUUGGACACAAUAUGGGAUUAGAUCACGACGAUGAUAGGGCUGAUGGUGCUGAUUGUCCGAAUUACAAGUAUAUCAUGUCAUCAGAGAAAAACACAGCUCCUACGAGUUAUAUGUGGUCACCUUGCAGCAGGACAAGAAUUCAAACAUUUUUGAA